This 517-nucleotide ribosomal RNA is filed under the name uncultured Hymenobacter sp. RNAcentral's name for it is "bacterial SSU rRNA". It matches the Rfam family "Bacterial small subunit ribosomal RNA", at positions 1 to 526 of the family's 1533-position model. Lineage: Bacteria; Pseudomonadati; Bacteroidota; Cytophagia; Cytophagales; Hymenobacteraceae. The record is from RNAcentral.
UAGUGAGUUUGAUCCUGGCUCAGGAUGAACGCUAGCGGCAGGCCUAAUACAUGCAAAUCGAACGGGUGGUAGCAAUACCACUAGUGGCGCACGGGUGCGUAACGCGUAACCAACCUACCUACAACUGGGGGAUAGCCCGCCGAAAGGCGGAUUAAUACCGCAUAACUCCACAGAGUGGCAUCACUUCAUGGAUAAAGAUUUAUUGGUUGUAGAUGGGGUUGCGUGCCAUUAGCUAGUUGGCGGGGUAACGGCCCACCAAGGCGACGAUGGCUAGGGGGACCUGAGAGGGUGAUCCCCCACACUGGCACUGAGAUACGGGGCCAGACUCCUACGGGAGCAGCAGUAGGGAAUAUUGGGGCAAUGGGGCGAGAGCCUGACCCAGCCAUGCCCGCGUGCCGGAUGAAGGCCUUCUGGGGUUGUAAACCCGCUGAAACGAGGACGAAAUCCCCGGCAAGGGGGUCUGACGGUACUCGUGUAAUAGCACCGGCUAACUCCGUGCCAGCAGCCGCGGUAAUCU